GACGAACGCUAGCGGCGUGCUUAACACAUGCAAGUCGAACGGGCCUUGUCCCCUUUUUUUUUGGGGGUGGGGUUAGUGGCGAACGGGUGAGUAACACGUGAGUAACCUGCCCCUCACUUCUGGAUAACCGCUUGAAAGGGUGGCUAAUACGGGGUGUUCUGGUCUGCUCGCAUGGGUGGGUUUGGAAAGAUUCGACCGGUUUUGGUUGUUUUGGUGGGGGAUGGGCUCGCGGCCUAUCAGCUUGUUGGUGGGGUGAUGGCCUGCCAAGGCUUUGACGGGUAGCCGGCCUGAGAGGGUGGGCGGUCACACUGGGACUGAGACACGGCCCAGACUCCUACGGGAGGCAGCAGUGGGGAAUAUUGCACAAUGGGCGCAAGCCUGAUGCAGCGACGCCGCGUGAGGGAUGGAGGCCUUCGGGUUGUGAACCUCUUUCGCCAGUGAAGAAGGUCCUGCUCUUUGUGGUGGGGUUGACGGUAGCUGGGUUAAUGAAGCGCCGGCUAACUACGU
RNAcentral lists this ribosomal RNA (507 nucleotides) under uncultured bacterium. Its description in RNAcentral is "partial 16S ribosomal RNA". It matches the Rfam family "Bacterial small subunit ribosomal RNA", at positions 28 to 506 of the family's 1533-position model. The record is from RNAcentral.